Long non-coding RNA from Sphaerodactylus townsendi, 166 nucleotides. RefSeq lists it as uncharacterized. The transcript is spliced from 3 exons. The record is from RefSeq and is a predicted model, not a curated record. NCBI's taxonomy places the organism in Eukaryota, Metazoa, Chordata, Lepidosauria, Squamata, Sphaerodactylidae.
AUGGGAUGAAAAGGUGUGGUAAGAGGUGGGAUAAGAUGACCAGGUCUGUACGUUUACUUGACUCAACCCAAUGAGCAAGAAGCGGGGAGGUAUGUUUUUCUAACUAUAAAUUAUGUUACACAGGCGGCAGCUCUUUGAACCUGCCCUCUGGUGCUGACUGAGGAGA